This 291-nucleotide unclassified non-coding RNA is filed under the name Hevea brasiliensis (rubber tree). Lineage: Eukaryota; Viridiplantae; Streptophyta; Magnoliopsida; Malpighiales; Euphorbiaceae. The record is from RNAcentral.
UGUUGCUUGACUUCACAUCGCGAUGAAUAAUAGGUGGUGAGCAGUCGUGGUGCAUGUAGCAAAGACCACGGGCAGCUCCUAUCGCGAUUUGCAGCCUCCUAGGCCAUUCCAAGACCAGAUGUGGCGUUGAUCUCGAGGCAUUGUUCAUCCUAUUCUUUGAGUGAAGCCAUAUAUCCAAGCUCCUGUUCUCCAUGUAUUCGUAGACAAGAAGUUUCGACUCUUCACUGAAGAUGCAGCAGAGGAGUUUCACUAUGUUGGAGUGUCGAAUCGUGCCUAAUAUCUGAACUUCAG